AGCAGCCGCGGUAAUUCCAGCUCCAAUAGCGUAUAUUAAAGUUGCUGCAGUUAAAAAGCUCGUAGUUGAAUUUCGGGACCAUCAUGUCGGUCGUGCCUCGGUACGUACUGGCAUUGUUGGUUUCUACCUUCUGACGAACCAUGAUGUCAUUUAUUUGGUGUCGUGGGAAAUCAGGACUGUUACUUUGAAAAAUUAGAGUGUUUAAAGCAGGCUCACGCUUGAAUACAUUAGCAUGGAAUAAUGAAAUAGGACGUUUGAUUCUAUUUUGUUGGUUUCUAGGAUCGACGUAAUGAUUAAUAGGGAUAGUUGGGGGCAUUAGUAUUCAAUUGUCAGAGGUGAAAUUCUUGGAUUUAUUGAAGACUAACUACUGCGAAAGCAUUUGCCAAGGAUGUUUUCAUUAAUCAAGAACGAAAGUUAGGGGAUCGAAGACGAUCAGAUACCGUCGUAGUCUUAACCAUAAACUAUGCCGACUAGGGAUCGGAUGAUGUUAAUUUUUAAUGACUCAUUC
This 508-nucleotide small RNA is filed under the name uncultured Glomus. Its description in RNAcentral is "SSU rRNA". It matches the Rfam family "Eukaryotic small subunit ribosomal RNA", at positions 569 to 1081 of the family's 1831-position model. The record is from RNAcentral. Lineage: Eukaryota; Fungi; Glomeromycota; Glomeromycetes; Glomerales; Glomeraceae.